GAUCAGAUUGAUCUAGAAGGCUCGGGAAUGCUUCGAGCUCCCUCUGACCCGCGACGCGUCCCGACGAUCCUAGAAGAAGACCCGGUCGGAACUCCUCCGUCCGGCCAUCUCCAGGCAGAGAACCACCAGCUUUCAAUUCCUCUUCUCAACGUCAACACGCCCAUGGUGGUGGAUUAUACAUGCACGGCUCGUGGGGAGAGAUUCGAAGCUAGGAAACUUGAAGCUUUUCCGGCGACUCCGGCAUCGUUUGGGUUUUCUGAGGUAUGAAACGUACUCCUCUCGUCGAGUUAUACGUCUGGGUAUAAUUAGUUUUGGAUUUGGUCGAGUUUAAUGAUUUUCGAUUUUGGGUUGGUUUCGGCUCCGCCAUGAUUUCGACGCCGGCGGCUGUUCUAGCUCUUCUGGGUUCGUUUUCCGUCUUGCCUGCACCUGUAGACGUGUCAACCUCGACUAUAGCUGGAUGUUCGAAGCUGCUGGGUUGGUGUACUCUGGUUCCUCCGUUUGUUCAUCGUCGAAAUUCCGGGAAGUACUGUGUCUUGAAAUUGAGCCUAGGUGAGCUACGUUAUCUAUCUUUAGCCUUGGAGAAUUUUGGUUGCUGUUGCCGGAUGGGUGUUGUUAUGCAUGGAGUUUUGGUUUGAAAGUAAAGAACAGGGAGAAGUUAUUGGAGAGGUGAAAGUGUAAAGAUUAAGAAAAUGGUUAUUAAUCGGAAUUGAAGUAGUGAUUUGGUUUGCAAUGAUUUUGGUUGAUGAAUGAAAUUGUCGAUGGUACUAGUCAGUGGCGGAGCCAGGUUUCGAUUUAAGGUGGGGCACUCACAAAAUAUCAAAACUUAAUUACAAAAAAAAAAAAAAAAAAAACUAAAGUGAUAUACAUCUUGUAAAUUGUCUAAGCAAUAACAUAACUAUAUUAAUUUUAUAAUUCAAAAGUAGAACCAUAGCACUACAUACGUAAUAUAUAAUUAACUACAUAUGUAAUACAUAAUUAUAUAUAAUCCCACAUGUUCAAGCCAAACAAGAAAAGGAAAAAAAAAAGACCCACAAAGCUUACAACAAGAAACAUCGAACCCUUGACCAUAUUGUUAUGGAUUCAAUAGGACAACCACUACACCAGAGCAGCUUUGUUACAAUGUGGAGAAGCUAAUAUAUAUUUGUACUAAAACUCUAGUGGGUCACAGGACCCACUAGGCCACUAUGUGGCUCCGCCCCUGGUACUAGUUCUGGGUUUCGGGUUUUGGUACAACUGCAGAGUUAAGUGGGUGUCCUUAGUAGUUUUGGACACACUUCAUUUGAAUUGGAAAGUUGUUGGGUGUCCAUAGUAAAUUCAAUGAAAUUACUAUGUGACGUGAUUGUGAAGAAAAACAGAAAUUAAAUGUUAAAAGGCAUAUAAAUUGGUCAGUAUUCCAAUUUUAAGUGAGUGAAAUGUUCGGUAAUUGGGCUAAUUAUUGAAUUUGGUCAAACUUUGGUCAAUCCUGGUCAAACCAAGAAAGUGGGUUGGACGAUUAGAUAAUCGUCGCGAUUUUAAUUAAGUGUUUAACGGACCAUUAACGAUUAUUAUGUCGGAAUCUAGGACUCCAGUUACCCGAGGAACGGAAGGUUCGUGAAUUUCGGACGACUUCGGAAUCCAGGUAGGGGAUUCGGGGCCUUUCUCGGUUAGUAGUUUUCCCGUUUUAUAUAAAGUGAAGCAUGAUGCAUGUUAAAUUAUAUGGUAUGGUUAUGUUUAAAUGCAAUGCAUACUAACCAUUCCGUGAGAGAUAUCGUUGAUGGCUUGAGAGCGAAGGGUGGCUCUGACUUCCUUGGGUUCGAUCCCCAAAACCUCCGGAGGGUUAGCUACACCGGUCGGACGGUGCGCGAUCGUAAUGACGACCCGAUUCCGUGUGUGUAGCUAGGUAGCGGACGCUCUCGCUACGCUUACCUGGUUAUGAAUUGAUUUGAGUGUGGAUGCAGGUACUGUGCACUGGUGACGGGAUUGAAGGACGGAGCGGGUGAGCGGAGUCAACUUCGAUAAAUAGUUGUAAUGGGAACAGUUUGGGGCGUUACAACCAUAGUUUGGCGAAACUUAUUCAUUGCAGUUGCAGCACGAGGAACUCCACCUGAUUUAUCAGCAUGAGACAUUAUUUCAUUGAAGUCCCCCGCCAUAAGCCAAGGCAAAGAGCAGUUUUAUUGUGCUAGGGUUUCAAUCAUGGACCAAGUUUGAUUGCGUUCAGUCCUUGACGCAACACCAUAAAUCCCUGUGAAGCGCCAAGAGGCAGGAGCUCCACUUUCACACACUUCUACAUCAAUAUGAUUUGGAGAAGAAGAACGAAAAUUCCCAUGCACUUCAGGACCCCAGAGAAGAGCUAGGCCCCGAGAAUCCUUUUGCUUUGGAAAACAGAAGUUUCCAACAAAGCCUACACGACCAGUGAUGGUGUCAAUCAGUUUCUGAGAGAAAGAUCAAUUGAGGACGUUUUGCUUGAACCAUAUCAAUAAGUGCCCUUUGUGUUUCUUGAUUAACAAUCCCUCGACAAUUCCAAACGAGGAUGUUGCCCUGCCACAUGAUCGACGACAAAGAGUUGGUAUGCACGGAGGCUUGGAGGCGUCGCACAGAGGUUGACGGCGCUUAGGGUUUUCCUAUGAGAAAUGAAUAUAUGGCCAAAGAAUCCAAAGAAAAAUAAAUAUUACGAAAAAGUCGGGUUUUGCUUCCAACUGGAUCAAUAUGAUUAUGAGGUGUGUUACCUCAGUGAGUUAUGCUAUCUUAGUGAAUGGUGAGGCUACUACUACUGUGAAGCCAACAAGGGGUAUAAGGCAGGGAGAUCCUCUCUCACCAUACUUGUUUAUUCUAUGUGCUGAAGGAUUAUCUGCUUUGAUUUCUCAAGCUGUUCAUUCUGGAUCUAUCCAAGGGUUAAGGAUGUGUCCACAAGCUCCUACCUUGCAUCAUCUCUUUUUGCAGACGACAGUUUAUUAUUUGGUUCAGCUACUCCUGAAGAAUGUUAUGCUUUUAGAGAGAUUCUAAACACUUAUGAAAGAGCUUCUGGUCAGCAGGUAAACUUUCAAAAAAGCUCUGUUGUCUAACAUCUCGUAUCACCUCCAGCGAUACCAAGAUUCCAAAAGUGGUCCCACCACCCAACAAUCAAAUUCCAAGUUCAACCCAUAAGGGGUUUGACUCAAAAUAUAACUUAGAACUCUGGUCAAACUAUGACCUGAAAUACUUCCUUAGUCAGCUGGGAAAACCCACAUCCUUAGAGUUACUCUUACUACUCUUAUAAAAUCUCAACCAUUCCAUCUAUCAAUUGCU
This is a long non-coding RNA of Rosa chinensis, 3264 nucleotides long. RefSeq lists it as uncharacterized. The record is from RefSeq and is a predicted model, not a curated record. The transcript has 3 exons. NCBI's taxonomy places the organism in Eukaryota, Viridiplantae, Streptophyta, Magnoliopsida, Rosales, Rosaceae.